RNAcentral lists this long non-coding RNA (1210 nucleotides) under Monodelphis domestica (gray short-tailed opossum). RNAcentral describes it as "lncRNA (ENSMODG00000042617.1)". Lineage: Eukaryota; Metazoa; Chordata; Mammalia; Didelphimorphia; Didelphidae. The record is from RNAcentral.
GGAAUGAGCUGCAGGCAAUAUUUAUAGCUCCCGUUCUAACUUUGUUUUCACUGCAACUGGGAAAGGAGGUUGAUCAGUGGGAGUAUUUUCAGAUCUGGUAAGAUCCUAGCACUAAUGGAUGGCCAGGGAGGGGGACCCAGAGCUCUCACAGAUAAUCUGCCUUCUUAUAGCUGGCAUGUUUUUAAAUCUAAGAGCCUUAAUCUCUCUUUUCCGCUGGCCAGGCGGGUAAACGACAAUGGUGAGGUCACCCUGACUUCCUCCCCGCUCUGCCUCCUGCCUGGAGCCCACAAGGAACUAAUGAAUGGAUCGAAGGCGUAUCAUUAAUCACAGGUUGUUUGGGCACUGCAGGAGAAAUAGCCCUUUCUUGAACUCUCACUGUAGUUCAAAUAUAUCAUUGUGACUUUUGCCACAUUGCACUCGCUGACACACAUGAAGGCAAGGGAAGGCAAUGAACUAUUCAAACUUCUCCCAAAGUCCCAGAUAAUCUGAAAUAAUUUCAAUGUAUGCAUGGAAGACACUUCAUUGGAAGAAAGUUUUGUGCUCUGAUGUCAUCUCCUUGAUAACUCCAACCAAUGUGGAUUCCACACUGAAAGUGUUGAAGUUGUCUACAUACCAACUGACACAAUAUCUCUCAUUUGGUCACUUGAUCAUGUGGGAAUAUGAACAUUUAAGGCACACUAUACAUACUAUCCAGUGGGAAGGAUCACAGAGAAUAUCAUAGGAAAACCCCAUGAUUUGAAAGACAUACCUGUACCAUUUUGUGAAUUCGACUUUCCUUCUCCAUAUCUUAUUUGUUCACACUAUCAGGCUAUCUGAAAUGGGAUCCCAGAGCAUCCUUAACCUGUUAAAAUAAUUUUUGUUUCUUUGCAACCUAAAACAGGUACUGUUUCUUACAUGAAAUCUUCCCUGAUCACACUAUAUGGAAAUAGCCUCUGCCUCCUCAGUCAUUAGAAUAUCUAUUUGCACUCUUCUAUCCACAUAUCACCUUCCAAUUUGUAAUACAAUUAUUUGUGAACAUUUCAUAUCCUACUAAAUAGUAAGUUCCUUGAGGAUAUGCACAAUAUUUUUCAUUUUGCAUCUCCAGUAAUUUGUACAAAACCUUACCUAAAGUAUCCACUUAAUGAAUGUUCAUUGAACUAACCUAAUGGUUGGCAUUCAAUGAAUAUUUGCUAUUAAUAAAGCAUGACACUGUUUUGUUACUGCUAUGACC